This 760-nucleotide ribosomal RNA is filed under the name Escherichia coli. RNAcentral's name for it is "partial 23S ribosomal RNA". It matches the Rfam family "Bacterial large subunit ribosomal RNA", at positions 1957 to 2716 of the family's 2925-position model. Lineage: Bacteria; Pseudomonadati; Pseudomonadota; Gammaproteobacteria; Enterobacterales; Enterobacteriaceae. The record is from RNAcentral.
UAGCGAAAUUCCUUGUCGGGUAAGUUCCGACCUGCACGAAUGGCGUAAUGAUGGCCAGGCUGUCUCCACCCGAGACUCAGUGAAAUUGAACUCGCUGUGAAGAUGCAGUGUACCCGCGGCAAGACGGAAAGACCCCGUGAACCUUUACUAUAGCUUGACACUGAACAUUGAGCCUUGAUGUGUAGGAUAGGUGGGAGGCUUUGAAGUGUGGACGCCAGUCUGCAUGGAGCCGACCUUGAAAUACCACCCUUUAAUGUUUGAUGUUCUAACGUGGGCCCGUAAUCCGGGUUGCGGACAGUGUCUGGUGGGUAGUUUGACUGGGGCGGUCUCCUCCUAAAGAGUAACGGAGGAGCACGAAGGUUGGCUAAUCCUGGUCGGACAUCAGGAGGUUAGUGCAAUGGCAUAAGCCAGCUUGACUGCGAGCGUGACGGCGCGAGCAGGUGCGAAAGCAGGUCAUAGUGAUCCGGUGGUUCUGAAUGGAAGGGCCAUCGCUCAACGGAUAAAAGGUACUCCGGGGAUAACAGGCUGAUACCGCCCAAGAGUUCAUAUCGACGGCGGUGUUUGGCACCUCGAUGUCGGCUCAUCACAUCCUGGGGCUGAAGUAGGUCCCAAGGGUAUGGCUGUUCGCCAUUUAAAGUGGUACGCGAGCUGGGUUUAGAACGUCGUGAGACAGUUCGGUCCCUAUCUGCCGUGGGCGCUGGAGAACUGAGGGGGGCUGCUCCUAGUACGAGAGGACCGGAGUGGACGCAUCACUGGUGUU